Non-coding RNA from Podarcis lilfordi (Lilford's wall lizard), 72 nucleotides. Lineage: Eukaryota; Metazoa; Chordata; Lepidosauria; Squamata; Lacertidae. The record is from the annotation of a GenBank genome assembly.
AUAACAAUAUAAUAGGUAGAGCAUGAGACUCUUAAUCUCAGGAUCCUGGGUUCGAAUCCCAUGUUGGGUGAA